This 1200-nucleotide ribosomal RNA is filed under the name Emerita talpoida. Its description in RNAcentral is "16S ribosomal RNA". The stretch from base 757 to 1127 matches the Rfam family "Bacterial large subunit ribosomal RNA", at positions 2073 to 2647 of the family's 2925-position model. Lineage: Eukaryota; Metazoa; Arthropoda; Malacostraca; Decapoda; Hippidae. The record is from RNAcentral.
AGAAAUUCUAAAAUUUAUGAAAAAUAAUUUUUACCUUAAAUUAAUUAGUAUUUUGUAAAGAAAAUUUUUUAGCUGGUUAUAGUGCAUAGUAUUGUAAAAGAAAUAUUGAAAUAUUUGAAAACUUAAUUCAAAAAAAGUAGUUAUAAAUAAUCGUACCUUGUGUAUCAUGGAUAAUUAAAAUUAAUUUUAUAUUAAAUAAUCCCGAAAAAGAAAGAGCUAGUUAAUAAAACUUGUUUUUGUGGCAUAAAAAUUAAUAAUCUUUAACUAGAGGUGAAAUAUCAUUCGGUUUCUUAUAUCUGGUUUUUCCUGAAAUGAAUUUAAUUCUACUUAUUUGUUAAAUAAACAAAUAAUUAAAGACUAUUAGGGUAGAGCUUUAUAGUCAAUAAUAAAUAAGUAUAAAUUUUUAUAUAAUUAACAAAAACUAGGCUUAAAAGUAGCCUUGUAUAUAAAGUGUUUUAACUAAUUGAUUAAUUAAUAUUAUUUAAAUUAUUUUACUAUAAUUAGGGAAAAUUACAUUAAAGAACUCGGCAAAUAUUAUUUCCGCCUGUUUAACAAAAACAUGUCUAUAUGGUUUAAAUAUAUAGUCUAACCUGCCCACUGGUAUAAAAUCUAAAGGGCCGCAGUAUCUUGACUGUGCAAAGGUAGCAUAAUCAUUAGUCUUUUAAUUGAAGACUCGUAUGAAUGGUUGGACGAGAAAUAAACUGUUUCUUUUAUAUAUUUUGAAUUUAACUUUUAAGUGAAAAGGCUUAAAUACUUUAGAGGGACGAUAAGACCCUAUAAAUCUUAAUAUUUUAUUAUUAGAGAUAUUAUUCAUAAUGUCUAUAUAUCUUUAAUAAAAUAAUAUUCUACUGGGGCGGUAUAAAUAAAAUUAGUAACUGUUUAAUAUAAAUUCAGAAGUGCCUGAUAAUUAAUAGAUCCUUAUAUAAAGAUCAAAAGGUUAAGUUACUUUAGGGAUAACAGCGUUAUUUCUUUUAAGAGUUCAUAUCUAAAAAGAAGUUUGCGACCUCGAUGUUGAAUUAAAAUUUCUUUGUGGUUGCAGCAGCUACAAAAGAAAGUCUGUUCGACUUUUAAAAUUUUACAUGAUUUGAGUUCAGACCGGCGUGAGCCAGGUUGGUUUCUAUCUUCUAGGUAUAAUAAAACUAUUUUAGUACGAAAGGAUUAAAUAGUUAGAAAAUUUCUAUAAAUAAGAUUAAUAAUAUU